ACAGAGGGUGCAAGCGUUGUUCGGAAUUACUGGGCGUAAAGGGCGUGUAGGCGGUUGAUUAAGUUGGAUGUUAAAGACCUGGGCUUAACCUGGGGAAUGCGUGCGAUACUGGUCAGCUAGAGUUCAGGAGAGGAGAGUGGAAUUUCCGGUGUAGAGGUGGAAUUCGUAGAUAUCGGAAGGAACACCAGAGGCGAAGGCGGCUCUCUGGCCUGUAACUGACGCUGAGGCGCGAAAGCGUGGGGAGCAAACAG
Molecule: ribosomal RNA, 251 nt
Filed under: uncultured bacterium
Lineage: Bacteria
Description: partial 16S ribosomal RNA
Rfam family: Bacterial small subunit ribosomal RNA
Source: RNAcentral